UCCGGAUGCUCUCGGGAAACUGCUCUGUGCCCUAGGAAAGCCCCUCGGUCUCCUCUAGCCGCCGUCAUUCUUGAUCGCAAGAGCUUCUCGGGAAGGUGAGAGGAGAGGAGACAGCGAGAGGGUGCGAUGGAUGAGGCUGGCCCCAACUCCCUGACCCUGCGCUUCGUCAACCUACCGCAGUGGGUGCAUGAGCUCCCGCGCGACUGCGUCAUUCCGGCGCUCACCAGGAUCCUCCGGCAAUACGUACCGCUCCACCCUACGGACGACGAUUGGUUCUCAAGAGAGUGUCCGUGGCAGGAGGAGGUCACCCGUCAGUACCGUUUCGAACCUCCGAAUCAAUUAAUCUGAGAUUGGUGACCGUAGCUUCUUUGCCAUAAGGAAAUUUUUUGGGAAUUUUGGCGUUAGAGCAGGGACCGUUAGUUUGUUGCAAGCUUAUGUUGAAGCUUUGCUUGGGCUGGAAGGCCUGUUAACUCUGGUUGAAACUAUUACUUAUUGCCCAGCUGUGGUUAGUUUGUUGCAAGCUUAUGUCGAAGGCUCGAAGCUUUGCUUCGGCUGGAAGGCCUGUUAACUCUGGUUGAAACUAUUACUUAUUGCCCAACUGUGGUAAUUAUUUUGAUCUCGAAACUUAACAAAGUUCCUCCUUUUUUCAAAACCUUCCAUGGUCAUUGGGCCUACUA
This is a long non-coding RNA of Triticum dicoccoides, 677 nucleotides long. RefSeq lists it as uncharacterized. The record is from RefSeq and is a predicted model, not a curated record. The transcript is spliced from 2 exons. Lineage: Eukaryota; Viridiplantae; Streptophyta; Magnoliopsida; Poales; Poaceae.